This is a non-coding RNA of Oryctolagus cuniculus (rabbit), 6140 nucleotides long. NCBI's taxonomy places the organism in Eukaryota, Metazoa, Chordata, Mammalia, Lagomorpha, Leporidae. The record is from RefSeq and is a predicted model, not a curated record.
GUGGCCCAGGACGGGUUUCUAGACUGUCCUCACUGCUCCGCGGGAGGCUCACUACGCCUCUCUGUAGUUUUGUGGAUUAGUCUUUUUGCUUUUCCUCAUGGGGCUCACCUGCUGGGCCACUCCAUACCAUAGGACAGCCCCCUGUACUGACCAGUGCCCCUGUACUGCCCGGAUUUCUCUACACCUCUCUCUCUCUCUCUCUCUCUCUCUCUCUCAUUCAGCUGGAACUCUCUGGGCUCUGCUAUUCCUGCCUCUAGACCUGAGCGUGGCUGUCCCCUCUUCCUAAGCCCUUCCCCUACCCUGGCUGGCUCUGUAAACCUCUUCCAGGUGUUGGUGCAGAUGCUCAGACCUCAAGGAGACCAUCCUGGAUCCUCCCACAACUCCUGGAUCUUUCCCUUGUCCUACUUUUUGUUCUUACCAAUUUCUUCUUCUCCUUCCUCCUCCUCCUCCUCCUCCUCCUCCUCUUCUUCUUCUUCUAGAUUUUAUUUAUUUAUUUAUUUAUUUAUUUAUUUAUUUAUUUAUUUUAAAGGCAGAGUUACAGCACAGAGAGGGAGAGACAGAGAGAGAUCUUCCAUCUGCUGGUUCACUCCCCAAAAGGCCACAAUGCUCAGAGAUAGACUGAUCCAAAGCCAGGAGCCAGGAGCUUCUUGCGGGUCUCCCACGCAGGUGCAGGAGCCCAAGCACUUGGGCCAUCUUCUACUGCUUUCCCAGGCCAUCAGCAGAGAGCUGGAUCAGAAGAGGAGCAGCUGGGACCCAAACUGGUGCCCAUAUGGGAUGCCAGGGCGAGGCAGAGGCUUAGCCUACAAUGCCACAGCUCUGGCCCCACCAAUACUUCUAAUACAGUACAUAGUACAUAGUACUUCUAACAGAGUACAUAGUCCUAAAUACAUAAAAUAUACUUCACCAUAUGCUAUUUUUUUUUUUUUUUUGGACAGGCAGAGUGGGCACUGAGAGAAAGAGACAGAGAGAAAGGUCUGCCUUUUCCAUUGGUUCACCCUCCAAUGGCCGCUGUGGCCAGUGUGCUGCGGCUGGCACACCGCGCUGAUCCAAAGCCAGGAGCCAGGUGCUUCUCCUGGUCUCCCAUGCAGGUGCAGGGCCCAAGGACCUGAGCCAUCCUCCACUGCACUCCCUGGCCACAGCAGAGAGCUGGACAGGAAGAGGAGCAACUGGGACAGAAUCUGGCGCCCUGACUGGGAUUAGAACCCAGUGUGCCAUGGCGUCAGCCACCAUAUGCUAUUAUUUCUUCUCUGGAUCACUGAGAUGCCAUCACCCACUUAACAUGUACAACCCAGCUGCUUUUAGCAUAUGCCUGGAGGUUAGCAUCACCCCGUAAGGAAAUUUUGGGGGCUGGCUCUGUGGUAUAGUGUGUAAAGCUACCGCCUGCCAUGCUGGCAUGCCAUAUGGGUGCCGGUUCAAGUCCUGGCUGCUCUGCUUCCAAUCCAGUUCCCUGUUAAUGGCCUGGAAAAGCAACGGGAGAUGGCCCAAGUGCUUGGGCCUCUGCACCUGAGUGGGAGACCUGGAAGAGGCUCCUGGUUCCUGGCUUUGGAUUGGCACAGCUCCAGCCAUUGUGGCUAUUUGGGGAGUGAACCAGUGAAUGGUUCUCUCUCUCUCUCUCUCUCUCUCUCUCUCUCUCUCCUCUCUCCUCUCUCUCUCUCUCUGCCUCUGCCUUUCAAAUAAAUAAAAUAAAUAAAUCUUAAAAAAAAAAAAGAAAUCCUAUACCCUCGAAUGGUUUCUCCCCAUUUCCCACCAACCUCUACAGCCUUGGGCAACCCCUAACCCACUCUGGUUCUCUACUGCUUUGCCUGUUCUGAACAUUUCAUGUAAAUGGAAUCACAAUAUGCAAUCUUGGUGAAGGGCCUCUUUCAGUUAGCAUGUUUUUGAGUUUCAUGCAUACUGCAGCAUGGAUCAACACAUCACCUUCCACAAAGCACCUGCCACAACUACGCAUUCAGUUUAUAGAAUUGGAGGGACUUCCAUUUUUUGAUGGUUAUGAAUAACCUUGCUGUGAACAUUCACGUCCAAGUCUUUGUGUAGAGGCGUGUUUUCAUUUCUCUCCACCUAGCCAUGACUGAUUGGUUCAUAUGGAAAUGCUAUGUUCACAUUUUGAGGAACUGGUAAACCAUUCUUCACAGGGUGUCAAUGCACCAUAUUGCAUUCACGCUAACAAUCUAUGAGGACUUCCAUUUCGUCACAUACUCACCAGUACUUUUUUGCUGUUUUUUUUUUUUUUGGUUGUCUUUUUUAUAGAGGGUGUCCUUUUUUUUUUUGGUUGUAUUUUUUUCUUUUUUGGUUGUGGCAAUACACACAUCCCAUAAAAUUCCGCAUUUUAUUCAUUUCAAGUGGCAUGAAGGAAGGACACUCAUUAUGGCCACCAUCCAUUUCUACAACUUGUUCAUCAUCCCAAAUGGAAAACUUGACUCAUUAAACAUCACCUCCCCAGUCCCCUUCCCCUCUGUUCUACCCUCUGUCUCUGCAUAUCUACCUAUUGUAGGUACUGCACAUAAACGGAAUUGUACAGCACUUACCCUGCUGUCUCUGUGUGAUUUCACUGAGCAUGUUUUUAAGGCUCAUCCAGGUUGUGCCAUAUCUUAUUCCAUUGUAUUGAAAUCCUUUGUCUUUGUAUGUGCAUGUCCCAUUUUGUUUACCCCUUCUUUGUGGAUGGAUGUUGGGGUUGUUUCUAUCUGUUGGCUAUUGUGAAUAGUGUUGCCAUGAGCAGUGGUGUCAAGAAUCCGAGUCUCUUUUCAAUUCACUGUGUAGGCACCUGGGGUGGAAUUGCUGAGUAUCUGACAAUUCCAUCUUUCUUUCUUGUUUCCUUCUCUCUCUCUCUCUCUCUCUCUCUCUCUCUCUCUCUCUCUCUUUUAAUUUCUUUUCCACAGUGGCUGCACUAUUCUACAUUCCCACCAGGGCUUCCAAUUUCUCCACAUACUCACCAACAGCUGUGUGUGUGUGUGUGGGGGGGUGUGGGCAGGUGGCAUCCUAAGGAGUGGGAAGUGGUCUCCAUUGAGGUUUUAUUUUUCUGUGCUUAUUUCCUUGUUUUUCUUUCUCCUCUGGAUACCUAUCUGUUCACAUCGUUUGCCCAUUUUUAAAUUGGGCUAUUUGGGGUUAUUUGUCUUUUUAUGAUGGAGCAAGUCUUCAUUUACAAAUCUCUCCUGUGUGUUCUGUGAGUUUUCAUUUAGCUUUCCUGUCAGUGUCCAUUGAAGCAUAAACAUUAAACAUUUUGUACAGUAUUUUUGCUCAAACUUUGUCUUAGGUCAUUGCCAAACAGAUUGAUAGGAAUUAUGUAGCAUCACAGUUUUAAGGAUUUUGCUGCUGUUUUAAAUUUCCUUUAUAUGAGUGAAGUUGAAAAGUUUUUUCACCUGAUUAUUGUUUAUUGCUUAUUUUCCUGCUGACAUAGGUCUUUUUGCUUUUUAUUUGUUGAACUGUUUAUUUAGUAGGGCCAUUGAGCUUUUGACUAUAACAUAAUUAACAAAUAUAUUACCUCAAAAAAUUAAGUUACAAAAAAUUUUAAAUUUUGAUACAUUUAACGGAUUGGAUUUUUUUCCUUAUGUUUUUGAUUUGGCAUUUAAGAAGUUACCAGCUCAUUAAAGGUCAUAAAUAUUUACUCCUGUGUUUUCUUCCAAGUGUUUUGGAGUUGUUGGUUUUUUAAGAUUGAUUUUUGAAAAAGAUUUAUUUAUUCAUUUGAAAGUCAGAGUUAGAGAGAGAGAGAGGCAAAGGCAGAGGCAGAGGCAGAGGCAGAAAGAGAGAGAUCUUCCAUCUGCUUGUUCACUCCCCACAUGGCUGCAAUGGCCGGAGCUGGGCCAAUCCAAAGCCAGGAGCCAGGAGCCAGGAGCUUCUUUCGGGUCUCCCAGGCGAGUGCAGGGGCCCAAGCACUUGGGCCAAUUCCACUGCUUUCCCAGGCCAUAUAGCAGGGAGCUAGAUUAGAAGUAGAGCAGCUGAGACUCAAACCUGCAUCCAUAUGGGAUGCUGGCAGCCCCAUUGUUUUGUAGUUGUAAGUCUCUGAUUCAUCUGAAUUUUUGUAUAGACUAUGUUAUAGGAAAUCGAAAUUCAUUCUUUUGCAUGUGACUAUCCAAUUAUUCCAGCACUAUUGGUUGUAAAAUGAAACAAUACUUUCUUCCAUGCAAUGGACUUGGCACUCUUGAAAAUUAGUUGAUCAUGAAUAGGAGAGCUUAUUUCUGAACUUUGUUUUAUUCUCUUGACCAAUAUGUUCAUCCUUGUGCCAGUAAAACACACUUUCGAUUCUGGCACCUUUGCAGUAAGUUUUGAAAUCAGAAAGUGUGAGUCCUCCGUUUUUUUUUUGUUUUUGUUUUUGUUUUUUUAAAUUUUCAUUGUUUUGGCUCUUCUGGGUGGAUCCCUUGCUGUGUAGAAAAGAGCUGAUGCUGCAGGCAUAACUGCUUAUGCUUAAAAAGGCUUUCCUGUAAGUUUGGCUCUUGGCUGGCUCUGACAACUUGCACUGCUAGUUAGAGUGGCUCUUGGUGCCCCAACUGUUUCUAUGGUGGUUGAUGCCAAAGACCUUCUUUCCUUCUGGAAACCUGAUAUUAGGGUACCUGCUGAGCAGGAGGUGCCUACACGCUGUGCAGAAUAUGCCCCCUGGUAAAAAUUCUGGGCACUGAGCCCUAAUGAGCUCCCAGUGGCCAACCUUCCACGUGUGUUGCCACUGCUUGUUGCUGUGUGGCUCCAUGGGAGAGGACCUUAGGGAACUGCUGCCUUCUUUUCUUCACACUCUUGCCCCUUGCUGGCUUUAUUCUGUGCCCUGUCAGUGUAACAAGUCAUGUCUGUGCGUAUGACUCUAUGCUGAGUGCUGUGUGUGUCACACAGUGAGUCACUGAACCUGGGCGUGACCUCCCGUGCACAUGACACACUUGCAUUUCCAUAGGAGUCUUAAGCUCAGCUUGUCAGUGUCAUCAACACUCCAGCUGGGAUUUCACAGGGGCCGCUUUGACCGGGGAGGUCGAAUGGGGGAGCUUUGGCUAUUGUUUGCCAGGCUGUCACCACAGAAGAAGUGUGAGCGUUACUGGGCCCAAGAGCAAGAGCCACUGCAGAUUGGGCCUUUCUGCAUUACCCUGGCCAAGGAGGCACGGCUGAACUCGGACAUUGUGCACAGGACCCUCCAGGUCACAUUCAAGAAGGAAUCCCGUUCCGUGCACCAGUUGCAGUAUACUUCCUGGCCAGACCGCGGGGUCCCCAGCAGUUCUGACAAUGUGCUCACCAUGGUGGAAGAAGCCCGGCGCCUCCAUGGACCAGGCCCUGGACCCCUCUGCAUCCACUGCAGUGCGGGCUGCGGGCGAACCGGUGUCCUGUGCACGGUGGAUUACGUGAGGCAGUUGCUGCUGACCAAGAUGAUCCCACCGAACUUCAGCCUCUCGAACGUGGUGCUGGAGCUGCGGAAACAGCGGCCCUCCGCGGUGCAGACGGAGGAGCAGUAUCGGUUCCUGUACCACACGGUGGCGCAGAUGUUCCGCUCCGCGCUGCAGAGGGCCAGCCCCCGCCACCAGGACCUCAAGGAGAAUUGCUCCCCCGUCUACGCCGAGGUCGACUCCCUCCGGAAGUCCCCAGCCCUUUUGGGUACAGCACCCCGGCCGGCAGGCGAGGUCCUCAGACAGGACCACACUGCUUUCCAGGGCCCUGCCCCGUCCACCUGCCACGCCGGCCCCGCCCGCUCUGUCACCCACUUAACUGGCGGGUCGCUGAGAACGUGCUCAGGAGACCCCACCCUCUGCCCUCCGAACCUUGCCGCCGUCGCCCUCCUUCCCUGCGCGCUGUCUGGGCGAGCAGGAAGCCUGCGGUUUGCUCGGCUCACGCUCCCCGCCCCCGCGGGCCACGGGAGCCGCCGUUUCACUUCCUCUGCGCGCUCCCCACCCGCAGAAGCAUCUCGGUGCCCGGGGCGCCGACCCUUGCCAUGGCCCACACGUACGCGGUGGUGCAGAAGCGCGGGGCCCCGGCGGGCGCGGGCCCCGGGGCGCGGACCGGAGACCCCGAGGGGGAGAAGCUCUACAGUCAGGUGACACCGCGCGCCCUGCGGUCGGGGGCGCACUCCGAGGACGCGAGGCGGCCAAUGCCUGCGCAGGCUCCUGCUAACCAAAGCCCUGAGGGACCUGAUGCUUAUGAGGAUGUUGCCGAUGGGGCGCAGACCAGUAGGCUAG